UGAACAGUACUCUUGUAACGUGUU
RNAcentral lists this non-coding RNA (24 nucleotides) under Arabidopsis thaliana (thale cress). Lineage: Eukaryota; Viridiplantae; Streptophyta; Magnoliopsida; Brassicales; Brassicaceae. The record is from RNAcentral.